AUCCUACUGACGAGUUCUAAAUAAGAUGAAAUGCGCAUCCUACAU
This 45-nucleotide non-coding RNA is filed under the name Schistosoma margrebowiei. The record is from RNAcentral. Lineage: Eukaryota; Metazoa; Platyhelminthes; Trematoda; Strigeidida; Schistosomatidae.